ACUCAACGGAAAUUUUUUAAAUUGGGUGCGUUUAAGUUGUAAAAGCAUGCUGUCUUGUAGCAGAUUCUUGAUCAACUUUUCAACUCUAAAUCUUGUAUUUAUGGAGUUU
Molecule: small RNA, 109 nt
Filed under: Flavobacteriaceae bacterium
Lineage: Bacteria; Pseudomonadati; Bacteroidota; Flavobacteriia; Flavobacteriales; Flavobacteriaceae
Also listed under: 1 other name
Description: 6S RNA
Rfam family: 6S-Flavo RNA
Source: RNAcentral